RNAcentral lists this non-coding RNA (294 nucleotides) under Acidobacteria bacterium RIFCSPHIGHO2_02_FULL_67_57. RNAcentral's name for it is "partial RNase P RNA component class A". It matches the Rfam family "Bacterial RNase P class A", at positions 134 to 367 of the family's 367-position model. From Rfam's summary of the family: Ribonuclease P (RNase P) is a ubiquitous endoribonuclease, found in archaea, bacteria and eukarya as well as chloroplasts and mitochondria. Its best characterised activity is the generation of mature 5'-ends of tRNAs by cleaving the 5'-leader elements of precursor-tRNAs. Lineage: Bacteria; Pseudomonadati; Acidobacteriota. The record is from RNAcentral.
GUGCCGGUCCGGCAACGGAUGCGUCCCGGGUAACGCCCGGGACGACGCCCGGCGGUAAGGGUGAAAAGGUGGGGUAAGAGCCCACCGGGCCGACAGCGAUGUCGGCUGCAUGGAAAACCCCGCGCGGAGCAAGACCAAAUAGGGGAGAAGGGCUAGCCCGGCCCGUUUAUCCCGAGCCCGUAAGGGCGAGGGAUAGUGACUCCCGGGUAGGUCGCCCAGAGGAAUGGUCACCCCCCGCUCCGGUCCUUCGGGGCUGGACGGGGACAGAAUCCGGCUUACAGGCUCACCCGCCAC